Molecule: ribosomal RNA, 233 nt
Filed under: uncultured bacterium
Lineage: Bacteria
Description: partial 16S ribosomal RNA
Rfam family: Bacterial small subunit ribosomal RNA
Source: RNAcentral
CGGGUGAGUAACGCGUGAGGAACCUGCCUCAAAGAGGGGGACAACAGUUGGAAACGACUGCUAAUACCGCAUAAGCCCACGGCUCGGCAUCGAGCAGAGGGAAAAGGAGCAAUCCGCUUUGAGAUGACCUCGCGUCCGAUUAGCUAGUUGGUGAGGUAAUGGCCCACCAAGGCGACGAUCGGUAGCCGGACUGAGAGGUUGAACGGCCACAUUGGGACUGAGACACGGCCCAG